This is a long non-coding RNA of Nannospalax galili (Upper Galilee mountains blind mole rat), 1245 nucleotides long. RefSeq lists it as uncharacterized. NCBI's taxonomy places the organism in Eukaryota, Metazoa, Chordata, Mammalia, Rodentia, Spalacidae. The transcript is spliced from 3 exons. The record is from RefSeq and is a predicted model, not a curated record.
UUCCUCUCCCUCUCCCUCUCCUUCUCCCUCUCCCUCUCUCUCUCAGCGCUGGCUUCUCACUGAAAAGCAACCAACAUCUUUCCUAACAAGCAUCCACAAGGCCACCGAAGCCACGCCCACUCCUCGCAGCAGCGGUCCCAGAAAUUGGCCUCAGCAUCCUUCCUCCAAAAAGCACAGCAGCAGCAGCAGCAGCAGCAGCGCUGGGAGCUCAGAGGCGCGCUGCAGGUGAUGGAAGCUGGACCCAGAGAUGCGGCCCCCUGCUCCUGGGUCUCCUCGGGGCUCCCUCCCCUCCCCUCUAUUCUCCAAUAAUCCUUAACCCUUUUUAUACCCUGCCAGCCAUGGGGGUUGGGAAGCAGCCAGGCUGUGAAGCCCUCUGAUUUUCUGCAGGUCUUGCGUUUGGCAGUGCGAGCCAACAUACUGAGCUGUUUCCUGAUUACCCGGGAGUGUAUCCAGAAUGAAGAAACUAGACCUCGGUAAAAGUGAGCAGCAUAUCCAGACCACUACUGGGAGUGGGAAGGGCUGAGGAUGCAGCUCAGGUGAGAGUGCUUGCCUAGGAUGACGUCCUAAAUUUGAUCCCCAGCACUGCAUAAACCUGGCAUGGGGCUGUGCGCUUGUAAUCUCGGCAUUUGGGAGAAGGAGGCAAGAGGAUCAGAAAUUCAAGGUCUCUGCACACCCCAUCCCUGACUACUGACCACAGAGGGGAAGAGCUUAGACACCACGGUAAACAGAGAAACCCAAAUGUGAAUACAGAUCCUACUUUCACCCUGAUUAAGUGGCUCAGUGACCCCAAGCUUGGGUUUCCUCGUUUGAAUAAAACACGAAACUGGAAAGCACAGAAUGCUGUGAAUUCUGGUUGUACAACAACAGGAAGUACAAUGUGAACUGCAUGGGAGACAUUCACUGGACAAUGAGUGACCCCGUGUGGCAGAAGAUCAAUGCGGCUGUUGGAACCUCAACAUUUCCAAGGCUCCUGCUUCACAGUGAACAGAGGAGAUCUGGCUCCUCCGGUGGAACAGAGGAGGACACAACCCACUGGUGGCAGAAAAGGAUUGGUCACCAAGACCCACUGACUUGUUCUCCAUUUCUUCCUCUCUACCAGGAUGGUCAGAAUGGCAUGUGUCUAUAGUCCCAGCACUGAGGAGGAUCAGAAGGUCAAGCUACAUCAGAAAUUCAAGUCUAGGCUGGGCUACAUGAGACCCUGUCUCAAAAAACAAACAAGCAAAUGAAUAAAUAGGGAAAUCAUAA